RNAcentral lists this transfer RNA (77 nucleotides) under Candidatus Eiseniibacteriota bacterium. Its description in RNAcentral is "tRNA-Val". It matches the Rfam family "tRNA". From Rfam's summary of the family: Transfer RNA (tRNA) molecules are approximately 80 nucleotides in length. Their secondary structure includes four short double-helical elements and three loops (D, anti-codon, and T loops). Further hydrogen bonds mediate the characteristic L-shaped molecular structure. tRNAs have two regions of fundamental functional importance: the anti-codon, which is responsible for specific mRNA codon recognition, and the 3' end, to which the tRNAs corresponding amino acid is attached (by aminoacyl-tRNA synthetases). tRNAs cope with the degeneracy of the genetic code in two manners: having more than one tRNA (with a specific anti-codon) for a particular amino acid; and 'wobble' base-pairing, i.e. permitting non-standard base-pairing at the 3rd anti-codon position. The record is from RNAcentral. Lineage: Bacteria; Candidatus Eiseniibacteriota.
GGGCGAAUAGCUCAGCUGGUUAGAGCACCUGCCUUACAAGCAGGGGGUCACAGGUUCGAAUCCUGUUUCGCCCCCCA